GGGGCUGAUUCUGGAUUCGACGGGAUUUGCGAAACCCAAGGUGCAUGCCGAGGGGCGGUUGGCCUCGUAAAAAGCCGCAAAAAAAUAGUCGCAAACGACGAAAACUACACUUUAGCAGCUUAAUAACCUGCUUAGAGCCCUCUCUCCCUAGCCUCCGCUCUUAGGACGGGGAUCAAGAGAGGUCAAACCCAAAAGAGAUCGCGCGGAUGCCCUGCCUGGGGUUGAAGCGUUAAAACGAAUCAGGCUAGUCUGGUAGUGGCGUGUCCGUCCGCAGGUGCCAGGCGAAUGUAAAGACUGACUAAGCAUGUAGUACCGAGGAUGUAGGAAUUUCGGACGCGGGUUCAACUCCCGCCAGCUCCACCA
This 363-nucleotide transfer-messenger RNA is filed under the name Salmonella enterica subsp. enterica serovar Rubislaw. It matches the Rfam family "transfer-messenger RNA". Rfam says of the family: Bacterial tmRNA, also known as 10Sa RNA or SsrA, is named for its dual tRNA and mRNA-like properties. Its role is to liberate the mRNA from a stalled ribosome. To accomplish this part of the tmRNA is used as a reading frame that ends in a translation stop signal. The record is from RNAcentral. Lineage: Bacteria; Pseudomonadati; Pseudomonadota; Gammaproteobacteria; Enterobacterales; Enterobacteriaceae. RNAcentral also lists the same sequence under 5 other names.